Molecule: long non-coding RNA, 2364 nt
Organism: Oncorhynchus tshawytscha (Chinook salmon)
Lineage: Eukaryota; Metazoa; Chordata; Actinopteri; Salmoniformes; Salmonidae
Exons: 2
Source: RefSeq, a predicted model, not a curated record
GUGUGUCUGUGCGUGUGUCUGUGCGUGUGUCUGUGCGCGUGUGUGUCUGUGUGUGUGUCUGUGCGUGUGUCUGUGCGUGUGUCUGUGUGUGUGUCUGUGUGUGUGUCUGUGCGUGUUCCUGUGUGUGUUCAAGUUGAAGAGCUUGCCACUCACCUGUCUCACGGUUCUUGACCCCUGAGUAACGUUUCAGUUGAUCUGAAAGCCCUCAGCAGGAAAAUGGACCUAAUGCUCGCGCCUUAGCCUGUCUUAUCGCCCUUAGUCUGUUCAUUUGAAAUGUAUUUUAAAGGAAAAGUGCAAUAUGGGCUUUCAUCUACACACCUGUAGCUUCAACAUAGCUUCCUAACAAGGAUGUUGUUUUUUACAACAGACAUAAGGUGUCCCAAAUGGCACCUUAUUCCCUACAUAGUGAACUACUUUUGAACAUAGCCCUGUAUAGAGAAUACAGUGAUAUUUGGGACACAGACAUUCACAGCAUACUGAGAGUUGACAUUCAGAGACGCAAAGAAAAAUUUCUCCUGACUGACCCUUUAAAAAUACAAUUGGGCUGUGUGUGCUGUUGCAAUGUGCUUUUUUGUGUGUAUUUCACUCUCCACCUUGUGUCAUUGUCAUUGUAGAUGCUGUGUGCAUACUGUAUGUGAAAAAAAAAGAAACAAUGAAUGAAUAAACUUUAACUUCACUGACGUGCAUACACAUGCAUGGGGAAAUGUUGACAGGUUUUCUUAGUUUUAUUUGUAUGUGUCAAGCUGAUAUGGACCAUUCAACUCUAUUUCAUCAACUUUGAUUAUACAAGCCCUCUGUAACACAGUGAAUCUGUAUUUUAGCGUGAGCUUCUUUUACAACGAAACCAAUUGAUUUCUUUCAUUACACUGUUACAUUGUCUAUCUCGUAGUAGUGCAGUCCCAAGCAUUUUAUUCAUGGUAAUGGUUAUAAUGGCAAACACUUGAUUCAUAUUUGACUUGUUUUAACUUUUACCAGCUGGCUGGUUUAUUUGUUCUAUGCAGCAGAGAUGUAUUGGUAAACCUGUACCUGUGCUCUACUUUGAAACAUUGAAAAAUCAAGUAUACAAAAAAAAUUAUACACUAAAGAGUUGUAAUAAUUGGUUAUUUCUGAUUCCCCUGCUACUGUUUUUAUUUUUACAAGAAGGCUCAUUGUAUAUUUCUUAAAUUGUUUGGGUUCUGUUUUCGUACAUUCUUGACUAUUUGUAACCUGUGAUUUUUCUAACAAAUGAGUUGAACCAAUAUGUUGACAUGAGAUUCUGCUGUCAUGAAUGGAGCGCUAAGGAUUUUCUGCUGCAUAUUUGAAAUAUGAAUUAAUCAACACAUCACUAUGGAGGGUGAGGUUUCUCUGAUGCAACACAUCACUAUGGAGGGUGAGGUUUCUCUGAUGCAACACAUCACUAUGGAGGGUGAGGUUUCUCUGAUGCAACACAUCACUAUGGAGGGUGAGGUUUCUCUGAUGCAACACAUCACUAUGGAGGGUGAGGUUUCUCUGAUGUAACACAUCACUAUGGAGGGUGAGGUUUCUCUGAUGCAACACAUCAUCAGAUAUUUGUCAUCGCUUUUCAGCCACUAUAUCACCUACAUUUUGUGGGUUGAAGAACUUGGUAGGUAAGAGGAUGGCAGUCAAGACAGAUUGCUCUCUGAAAGACCGAGUACUGUAAAUUGAACUUUCAUUGUUCAAUCAGAUAUUAAAAAUCAAUCAUUUCUUUGAAUAUCAUCAUUUGCAAACUCACAUGGACCUUUCCUAAGGCUAAUCAGCUCAGUAGGUAGGGGAACCAGAAUUGAAUGGGGACCAGAUAUACCAUUCCUCUGUCUGAAACCUUGGCUGGUAUGAUAUUCAUGAUAACAGCACUUAGGUCUGGACUACUAACUUGACAUAACAUUUUAUCUAUUUCAAUUAUUUAUCCUCUAUUUCUUUUAUUUUUGUUCAUCUUUGUAAAGGGAUUUUAAAACUAUGCACACGAGUCCAAGACUCUCCGAGAGGUCCACCCAAACUCAUGACCUUAAGAAUUAUAAUAUUAAUAAUAAGAGAUGUAUAUGAUUAAAAAAGUCAACAGUUAAUGAAUUUAUAUCAAUAGACGACUAUUGAAAUGACUAUUUUUCUGAUUUUCCAGAAUUAUUUAGACAUUUAUUGUAAACACACACACAGGUAUUGCUCCAAAGUUUUCUUUUUUUUUUCUCCUAAAAUGCAUUUAUUCUAUCACAUUCAACUCACAUGUGGAGGGACACUGUGACAUGAUGAAUUGGAACUAUAUCUGUAAUUGUAAUGUUGUAAUGUUUCCUAUUCAAGAUGGUAAAUGUCUAUUUGAACAAUUUAAAUGUCAUAUUUUGGGGAAAUAAAGCUGUUGUUGGGUAUCUAAAAAAA